AUGGUUGGCACAGUCCGGAGAUCUUGGGUUCUCUUUUCUGUCCUAAUCUUGUUUCUUCUCGACUCCUAUGGAGCUGAAGCCAACAACAACAAUGUUACAUGUGUAGGUUUAAUCAUUGAUGUUAAUACUCGUAUUGGAAAAGAAGAGAAAAUAGCGAUGGAAAUUGCAGCUCAAACCUACAACACAAGUUCAAAGACUCAAAAACUCUCUCUCUAUAUCCAGGACUCCCUUAGAGUCACUUCUGCUGUAGAAGAGAUGAUUAGAGAAAAUAGGGUUAAGGUGAUUAUUGGCAUGCACACAUGGCAAGAAGCAGCUCUAGUAGCUGAUAUUGGAAGUCAAGCUCUUGUUCCGGUUAUUUCGUUUGCGGCACCAGCCAUCAAUCCACCUCUAAUGCAACUUCGCUGGCCGUUCUUGAUACAAAUGGCUAAAAAUGGUUCCGAACAAAUAAAAUGCAUUGCAAAUAUUGUUCAAGCAUACAAUUGGAAAAGGGUUGUAUUGAUUUAUGAAGAUGAAGCAUUUGGUGGUGAUUCCGGAAAGUUGGCACUUUUAACUGAGGCUCUCCAACAUGUGGGUUCGGAGAUUGAUUACCAUUUGGUCCUUCCACCAUUUUCUUCUAUGUCUGAUCCAGGAUGGGUUGUUCAUGAAGAGCUUGUUAAGUUACUGAAAACACAAUUAAGAAAUUUUAUUGUUCUUGAGUCAUCAUUAGAAAUGGCGAUUCAUUUGUUCAGGGAAGCUAAGAAUAUGGGGUUUGUAAGGAGAGAUUCAACUUGGAUAAUUCCAAAUAGUAUUACAAGUUUGUUGGACUCUGUAAACAACUCGGUUAUUUCCUCUAUGGAAGGUGCAAUUGGAAUUAAAACCCAUUAUUCUGAAGAAGUUACCUCAGAGUACCAUGAUUUCCAUGCUCAGUUCGGAAAAUUUUCAGAACUGAAUAUCCAGAGGAAGACAACUCCGACCCUGGUUUUUAUGCUCUGCGAGCAUAUGAUAGCAUUAGAAUUGUUAUACAAGCGAUCGAAUGAAUGACAAGUAACAGAGGUAGUCCAAAGAUGUUGUUAGCCAGUAUGUUAUUAAGCAAUUUCACUGGUUUUAGUGGCAAAAUACAUUUUAAAGCAGGCCAGCUCUCAGACACUUCAAUUUUGAGCAUUGUACACGUUCUUGGAAAGAGAUACAAAGAAAUAGAGUUCUGGACACCAGACUCAGGGUUCUCCAUGAUCCCUUCUAUAGGAAAACCAAAUACUUUGGUUGCUCCCGUAAUUUUGCAGAGGAACUUACAAGAAAGUCCAAAAGUUUGGGAAAUGCCUACUGAUGCAAAGCCAUUGAAAAUUGGAGUUAGAGGUAGAGCAUCAUUUGGGAAUUUUGUGAAGGUUGAUUACGGGGUGAAACUGAAUGAGAACAAUUAUUCUGGUUUCUGCAUUCAAAUUUUCCUUAAGGCACGAGAACUUUUGGGAUAUCCUUUGCCUUAUAAAUUGGAGGCCUGUAAUUGCACCUACAAUGAUCUGGUUCACCUUGUCCACAAUAAGACUUAUGAUGCUGCCAUUGGUGACUUGACUAUAACAGCCGAACGGCUGCAAUAUGUAGAUUUCACUGCUCCAUACAUCGAGUCAGGUGUGGCAAUGAUAGCUCCGGCUAAACCUGUAGGGUCAGCAUUUAUGUUUACAAAGCCUUUCACCUGGGACAUGUGGUUGGUGACUAGUGCCAUCUUAAUAUACACAGUGCUCAUAGUUUGGUUGUUGGAGCACCAAUCCAAUCCAGAAUUCAGUGGCUCGUGGAGGAAUCAGAUUAGCACUGCACUCUGGUUCACUUUCUCCUCUCUGUUUUUUGCACAUAGGGAGAAUAUCCAUAACAACUUGACACGUUUGGUGAUGGGAGUGUGGCUUUUUGUCGUAUUGAUCCUAACCUCGAGCUAUACCGCUAGUUUAUCUUCAAUGCUCACUGUGCAAAAGCUGGAACCAAAUUAUAUGGAGUUGUUAAAGAAGAACAACUUACCAGUUGGCUGUACCAAUUUGUCAGUAAAGAAAUACCUGGUGAAUGCGUUUGAGUUCAAGGAACAGAAUAUCAAGAUCAUAGACAUAAAGCACUCCAAGCUUUUCAAACAAGAGAAAAUAUUUGCUGUCUUUCUUGAAUUCCCAUAUGAGGAAAUUUUCCUUAAUAAGAAUUGCAAGGAUUACACUAGUACCAGACUACAUACUCACGGAUUUGGAGGAUUGGGCUUUGUCUUCCAGAGAGGCUCGCCAAUUACAAGGGAUUUUUCUGAAGCAAUUCUUAAGUUGUCGGAGGCUGGAACUAUCUUGUCACUAAAGAAAAAAUGGUUAACUCCCCAAAAUGAGUGCUCCGCCAACAUAACUUCUAGCGAACCUGAAAGCUUGAGCCUCCAAAGCUUUGGGGUUCUCUAUCUAAUAUCUUUUGUCACUUCUACCAUUUGUCUUUUAUUAUUCCUAGUUCGCUUAUUUAUAAGUCAUCUGCAACAUCACAAUGCUUUCAAAGGAAACAUAACUCCAGGGGAAGAGAGUACUUGGAAGAAGGCAGUUAGACUUGUAAGAUACUUCUGUAUCAAAAAUCUAAGAAGAGCUCCAACUCUGGCAGACACAUCAGGUGCAAAUGAUCAUUCAACACUUGAUUAAGCCGUGCAUCUCAUGGGCAUAAUACUAGUGCUUAAGGAAAAUAAAUACCUACGGCUCUUUUUCCAGACCAAACCAUUCUCAUAUUUUUAAGGGCUCUUAGUCCUAAGGAU
RNA transcript from Quercus lobata, 2728 nucleotides. It is a transcript of the gene named glutamate receptor 2.9-like, with no coding region annotated. Lineage: Eukaryota; Viridiplantae; Streptophyta; Magnoliopsida; Fagales; Fagaceae. The transcript is spliced from 5 exons. The record is from RefSeq and is a predicted model, not a curated record.